GCACCAAUAUUUCUCGGGAAAACGUCAUCGAGAGCCGGAACAAACUUGUGUCUGAAAUUGAGACUUCCCUAAAGGAAGUCUCUGAAUGGGGUCGACUUAACUUAGUCCGUUUUAACCCUAGCAAGACACAGGUUUGCGCGUUUACCGCAAAAAAGUUAGAGUUUGUCGCGUCACCUCGUUUUGAGAGCACUCCCCUGAGUGCCGCAGCCAGUAUCGGAAUCCUUGGUCCUCCAAGAAGCUCGGUGUGCUCAACAGAUCGAGACGGUAUUUCACACCGGCCCAGCGCCUACAGCUUUAUAAGGCGCAGGUUCGCCCACACAUGGAAUACUGCUCUCAUCUGUGGGCAGGGGCACCCCAAUAUCAGCUUCUCCCUCUGGACCGCAUCCAACGAAGAGCGGCUCGAAUUGUUGACUGCCAGCGUCUUUCGGAACGGCUUGACUCCUUGGCGCUGCGUAGAGAUGUAGCCUCGCUCUGCAUUUUCUAUCGCAUGUAUAACGGGGAGUGCUCCGAGGAAUUGUUCGGAUUAAUCCCUGCCGCUUCUUUUCGCCAUCGCCCUACGCGACAACAUUACCAUAUUCAUCACUUGGAUGGUUGGCAGUCCUCAACUGUGCGUUUCUCCAGAAACUUCCUGCCUCGCACAGCCAAACUGUGGAAUGAACUGUCGCCAGCGGUAUUUCCGGACCGAUACGACCUACAAACCUUCAAGAAAAGAGCGUACUCCCAUCUUAAAGGCCGGCAACGCGCUUGCAACCCUUCUGGUGUUGCGGGUGUCCAUGGGCGGCGGUAAUCGCUUACCAUCAGGUGAUCCGUCUGCUCGUUUGCC
Cydia splendana is the source of this 823-nucleotide long non-coding RNA. RefSeq lists it as uncharacterized. Lineage: Eukaryota; Metazoa; Arthropoda; Insecta; Lepidoptera; Tortricidae. The transcript is spliced from 2 exons. The record is from RefSeq and is a predicted model, not a curated record.